RNAcentral lists this long non-coding RNA (428 nucleotides) under Olea europaea subsp. europaea. Lineage: Eukaryota; Viridiplantae; Streptophyta; Magnoliopsida; Lamiales; Oleaceae. The record is from RNAcentral.
GUGAACCGAAGGUUUUUUAUGGAGAAAUUUAGGAUGGAUAAGUAUGAUGAGUUGUUUGGGGUAUAAAUAAUAUUGGAAGUGGAAGAGUUAUUGUCUGAUCGAAGGGACAUACAUUGAAGAAAAUCAUCGUGUCCAUCAGAAGAAACUGCCCAUGAACACGAAAAAAUAACUAGAGAGGCAAAUAAAAAGGAAAAUAUACUUGGAGUCUUCAUCGGUGUUUAAGGUAAAGCUGAUUAAUUUGUGUAUUGCAGAGCAUAGAACAGGUUCAAUUUAUAUAUCCUGAAGGAGCAUGCUUAUUUUGAAAUUACAAUGAAUAUUAAUAUGAACAUCAGGUUUGAAAUUCCUGCUAUAAUGAUUGUAUGUUAGCGAAUGGUCUGAUUAAAUUUGCUGUCGUGAACAAGUUUCUCAACAUUAUUUUGUUCACUUGC